RNAcentral lists this long non-coding RNA (1494 nucleotides) under Callithrix jacchus (white-tufted-ear marmoset). RNAcentral's name for it is "lncRNA (ENSCJAG00000081063.1)". The record is from RNAcentral. Lineage: Eukaryota; Metazoa; Chordata; Mammalia; Primates; Cebidae.
AUGGCUCUACUGAAUAGAAACACUUCAUGGUCUAGAGCCUGCCAGAGAGUGGUUAAAACCCGGAAGAGCCUGGAAGAGCCCGGACUUCAGAACUGGAAAACGCUGAGUUUGAGCUCCUGUUUCACCACCUUAGGGGAGUGAUUCAACUUUGGUAAGUUUCAGUUUUCUCGUUUUUACAUAAAGAGAAUAAUUAGAAAUGCUCAUUAUGAUGUAUUGUCACAUAUAAUAUCUUCAGUUUUUGGCACUUACCAACUCGCAGCAUGGGUCCUGACCAGAGGAAUAAAAAGAGGUCAAUUUCCUUUCAUUUUUUUUAAGCUAGUGGCUUAAGAGAAAACAGCAAGUAAGCGAGGCUCAGGGAAUGUGUUUAAUUUGGCAUGACUCUGCAAAAAUCGUUUUAUGUAUUAGCCGUUUCUGUAAAAUGGACCAAAUAGCUCUUCUCCACUUGCCCCCAAAGUCCCCGGGACCUGUUGGAAAGGUAAGAGGAUAGUCAUGAGUACUUUGAAUAUAACUAAUUAAUGAUAUGACGCUGCUAUAAAAGCUCAUUCCUGACUUGCCUCUCUCAGCAACGGUCCUGAGUUCUUCUCUUGCCUUUGUUUUUUCCCAAACCUGCAUAGCUUACCUUCCAAACAGACACUUUUCUCCUCGCUAUAGCCCAAGUGAAUAUCUCCCUUUUCUGAUGCAUCUCUAUUGCCUAAUUGCUACUUAACUGUAAACACCUUGCUUUGAAACUUACUUGCCUAAGGAGUACUGUCUCCAUGUCUCUUCUUUCUGACUAAACGUUUUUUGAAGAAAUAAACUAUGCUUUCCAUUUCUUUUUAAUUCCCCCUGAGUGCCUGGGAUCAGUCAAUAGCAAAUGUUGAUUAAGUGUAUAUUGCUUAGUUUGCAUAGAAUUUCAAAGCUUUAAACAGGACAAGGGAAAAUAAUUUCCUUUGCCUUCAUAUUUAAGAUAAAGGUCUCUUCAUUUUUCAGGUCAGUGGUGCUUGUGUACUAUGGGUUGGUCAUGGCAGACUCCUAACUGCUCAAGUUGAUCACCUACAGGAGGGUGACUCCCAGGGUGAAUCUAUAUGCUUUGCUUUCCUCUGGUAUUAUAUUAACAAAUACUUUUGGGGAGAUGACAAUCUCAGGAAAAUGAAACAUGUCUGGCUUUUCAUUGUCAUAUUACUUUGUAAUAUGACAUUAUUUUACCAAAAUGAUAAAAGCAUAUGUUGAGCAGGUUACCCAGAUAUCUCAGGUUAAAUGGCCUAAAAUUAAACUCCUAAAAUAAUAAAACCCCUGGAGUAAUGGGAAGUGGAGCAGAAGAGAGGGAGUUGAGAGGGCUUCUAGUCCUAUGUUACUCAUUUCUGUCCUACAAAAGUGUAGCUAUAAAAUACAAUGGGCCAGUUGAGGUACAUGUGGUUUAACUUGUAUUCCCUCUCCUUUCCAAAAACAUGCCUUAUUUUAAUAGGACAGUGAUUCUACCAAAGAUAGGUUUCCCUGGGGAGCAGUUAAGGAGAG